Molecule: long non-coding RNA, 217 nt
Filed under: Elaeis guineensis (African oil palm)
Lineage: Eukaryota; Viridiplantae; Streptophyta; Magnoliopsida; Arecales; Arecaceae
Description: long non-coding RNA (EGUI_LNC024610)
Source: RNAcentral
AAUCUGAAUCAUUAGGUUGGUCAAAUCGAAACUAAUUAACCAAUUGGUGUCUAAGGUAAGUUUGGUAUUUCGAUCGAUGGUUUUUAAUUGGGAGCGGCUUAUCUAGCCAUUUUGAUGGUGUCUAAGGCAAGCUUAGCAUAUCCUCUCAUCGAUCUCACUUAUCUGGUCAAUUUGAUGGAUUAUGUCUUGAUUAAACCGCUAAGUGAUUCGAGUUGAC